This 74-nucleotide transfer RNA is filed under the name Candidatus Heimdallarchaeota archaeon. RNAcentral's name for it is "tRNA-Lys". It matches the Rfam family "tRNA". Rfam says of the family: Transfer RNA (tRNA) molecules are approximately 80 nucleotides in length. Their secondary structure includes four short double-helical elements and three loops (D, anti-codon, and T loops). Lineage: Archaea; Promethearchaeati; Candidatus Heimdallarchaeota. RNAcentral also lists the same sequence under 5 other names. The record is from RNAcentral.
GGGCGCAUAGCUCAGCAAGGUAGAGCGGCGGGCUCUUAACCCGUUGGUCGGGGGUUCAAGUCCCUCUGCGCCCG